RNAcentral lists this ribosomal RNA (182 nucleotides) under uncultured bacterium. RNAcentral's name for it is "partial 16S ribosomal RNA". It matches the Rfam family "Bacterial small subunit ribosomal RNA", at positions 338 to 524 of the family's 1533-position model. The record is from RNAcentral.
CCUACGGGAGGCAGCAGUAGGGAAUUUUGCGCAAUGGACGAAAGUCUGACGCAGCAACGCCGCGUGAAGGAUGAAGGUUCUCGGAUUGUAAACUUCUGUUGAGUGGGAAGAAAAGCUCGCAAGAGUAUGACGGUACCACUUGAGUAAGCACCGGCUAACUACGUGCCAGCAGCCGCGGUAAU